RNAcentral lists this ribosomal RNA (493 nucleotides) under uncultured bacterium. Its description in RNAcentral is "bacterial SSU rRNA". It matches the Rfam family "Bacterial small subunit ribosomal RNA", at positions 36 to 524 of the family's 1533-position model. The record is from RNAcentral.
ACCUGGCGGCAGGCUACACAUGCNAGUCGAGCGGAUGAGAAGAGCUUGCUCUUCGAUUCAGCGGCGGACGGGUGAGUAAUGCCUAGGAAUCUGCCUGGUAGUGGGGGACAACGUUUCGAAAGGAACGCUAAUACCGCAUACGUCCUACGGGAGAAAGCAGGGGACCUUCGGGCCUUGCGCUAUCAGAUGAGCCUAGGUCGGAUUAGCUAGUUGGUGAGGUAAUGGCUCACCAAGGCGACGAUCCGUAACUGGUCUGAGAGGAUGAUCAGUCACACUGGAACUGAGACACGGUCCAGACUCCUACGGGAGGCAGCAGUGGGGAAUAUUGGACAAUGGGCGAAAGCCUGAUCCAGCCAUGCCGCGUGUGUGAAGAAGGUCUUCGGAUUGUAAAGCACUUUAAGUUGGGAGGAAGAGCAGUAAGCGAAUACCUUGCUGUUUUGACGUUACCGACAGAAUAAGCACCGGCUAACUCUGUGCCAGCAGCCGCGGUAAU